This is a long non-coding RNA of Folsomia candida, 4130 nucleotides long. RefSeq lists it as uncharacterized. The transcript is spliced from 3 exons. Lineage: Eukaryota; Metazoa; Arthropoda; Collembola; Entomobryomorpha; Isotomidae. The record is from RefSeq and is a predicted model, not a curated record.
GCUAGGAGUGAGCAACAGGCUGUACGUUCUGUAAAACAUUGUCUCUUUCGGAAUAGCAUUCCUCAAAUAUCAAGACUACCAAUCUCAUCCUUCGUUGCACAGGAUAAAUCUCAAGCAAUUUGACCCUAUUCCCAACAAACACCACAGGGAAUAUUGGGCGACGAGAUUUUUGCAAUUUCUCCAAUCUCACUCGAGUAGACGAAAUCCGAGUUGAAUUUGUAUACUGAAAACUCUAUUCAUUUUAAGGAAAGGGUUUUUCGAGAAGCCAAGUUAGCAUUCAUUUUUGUGGUAUACGGAAUUUCAGAGGAUCGUAAAGUAGGAACAGGAAGAAAGUGGUUAGUGAAUUAUUAAAAGCUUUGACCAUCAACUCCACAUCGCACGAUUGCUCCUUUCUUUCCUUCCUUUAUAAAAAAUCAACUCUAAUUCCGGGAGAGAUUCUGGAGCAGAAGGAACUGGAGAGUCUCUCGAAUCUCGAGCUUUUCUGCCCCGCUGGAUAUCCAUAACUUGCUCCCUGACGGACGUUGCUGCAGACAAGUCCUCUUCCUUUGGUAAAAUAAGUUCACAGAAGAUCUUCUAACGAGACGAACUCCGAGGUGAAGCACCCCAAGGCCACAUGAACGUCUGAAACCGAGAGGAAUUCAUUUUCCAUGGAAUAAAACAAUCACAUAUCAAGCAGCCAGACACAAAUUAUUUACUUUGUAACUUUCUUCCCAUCCUAUGAAAAUAUACAAUUGCCGCAUUCAGAAUAAUCGAUACAAAUGAAAACGGACCAUCCACGCUCUUUAUAAAUGUUCAGGAUUAGAUGUGCUUGACUCAUUUCUCGUAUCCAAGAGUUUCCAAUCUCAGAGUUUCAUAACUGUACUUGGCGAGAAAGGAGAUCAUUCGUCUUUCUUCUUUAGCAUUCUCCUGCUAAGAGGAUGUCAAGCUUGUGAUUGAGUUGAAAUUCAAUCAGACCUGAUGUCUAUGUCCAUGGAAAAUUGACUCGCGUUCUCCUCAUCCUCAGAGGCAACUGACCCUGUAGGGUUUCUUAUUAGAGGCUGACUAGCUCUUCAAGAAAAACAAAAUAGCUUAGACCACUCGACAAGACGAGACAACCGGAAAAAGUUGAACAAUCAAACUCAUCAUCUUGAGCUGAUAAAAACCUGUCGCCCACUUGAGCACAUUUCAUCGAGUCUGAAUCUCCUCGUUAAUCUGAUUUAAAACAGAGACAAUUGUUUCCCAUAAAAUUAUUUCAGAUAAAAAAACCUAUUGAGUCCGGGUAAUCUUAAGACCCUUGAUAUACGUACGUACUUAUACAUCGAGUGCAUAUAGCACCCAAUUGGCGUGCAUACUUAGAGAAGAGACAUUUGGAUCGAGAAAACUUUGGAUUGCACUGCAAACACAAAUAAUUUUCAAGAUGAAUUACAACAGUACAGCGAACCAAGGGUACGGAAUCCCUGUUGGAGGUCACCGCAAUCAGCCAGUCGACAAAGAACCUGUUACUGCAGCCCUCGUCGCCAUCGUCAUUCUUGGAACAGGACUCGUGCUCAUUCUGCUCUGCUGCUACAUUUGCGUGCUGAGGAGACUUUGCUGUCCAGACUGGGGAAGGAAGGGGACUCACCACCCUCGAAGCACGACCACACAACAAACUUCCUGUGACAUUACCAAAUUCGACACUCUUACAGCCGAGCGGUCCCCAUCUUAAGUUGACUUUGUGCAGUCGGCGAGAUUUGUAUUAUUAGGAUAAAUUAGGCUAAAAGUAGUAUUAGCAGGAAUGAAAUAGAAGAAAGGCUUCUCAAUGAUACAGAUACUUAUCAUGCUUUAUUGAGAGGCUAUAAACGGGAUUGUGCAUCAAACCGAUGCAUAAUCCCGUUUAUAACCCCCAUCUAUAACCUGAUUAAAGGAAAGUGCUGUGCUGCUUUCCUUUAGUCACCAGCAGCAGCACACAGAUUGGUCGAGCAGUAAGGAUAAAGUUCAAUCUGCUACUUCGUUUAUGAUAUUGCGGUUCCUCUCCUUCGGUGGCAUUGCAUUAAGAGGGACUUUAAACAAUCCCAUUCACGAGGACAUAUUCCUCUGGCCGGGAUAUUUAUACGAUAGGAAAAGACUUAAUGUUGCACACUCAUAAUCAUAAAAGAGAAAGUGUCUGCCAAACUUAAGCUGACCAGCACUGAUCCUCGUAUUAUCUCCCAGCAGCACAUUCAAGCCAUUUCCCUCCCCGUUGUGAACCUCUGAAGAAAGCUAUUGACAUUUAGCAGCCUCAAAUAUAUAUUGGCUGUACCGUAUACUUCAACAGACUAUACAUACGUAUACGUACAUAUAUGUCCUUGUUUCCCCCAUUUCCGUCAAAUAAACACCAGAACAAUUGACCGUCCAUGACCAGUUUUCUCCCAGAAAUUCCCCCCGACCCCGUGAAAUGUAGCUGCAAUGAGGAUUUAAUUGGAUCAGAUUUUUUAACAUAGUUCACUUAUAUUUAACAGUAAUAGUAUUGAAUGAAUCGGAUAUAAAACUGUCCCCUCACACGAAAGUAAGAGGACGACUGGGAUUUUGAUGAAAAUGGAAUCUAAAUAUGUACAUACAUACGUGUCUCACUCUAUUAUGCAUGAGUUUUGUUGAAUGGAUUGGUGGUUGGGUCGAACGAGUGGGGGUCUGAGAGCUCCAUUCAUAAUUGAUUCCAGUAGAUUUCCUCAUGCAAAGGUGAGAGUUAAAUCAGUUAAAUUUAUCUAUCUCAGAUUCCCUACGACCAACAGCAUCCUUAUCUCCUUUGCACUCACAUCACAACCCGUGCACUGCCAGCAAUCGCCCAACAACAGCAGGUGGCAUGGAUUCAAUACAUUUUAGACAAUGUCGUGUGAAUGCUUCCAGUGAAAGUCAGUCAAAGUGAAUGCAGACUCUUUGUGCACGUAAUGGGUGCAUGAGGUUAAUGCACUGAAUGAAAUGUAGAAGUAUAUACGGUUCGUAAUGCCACAGUCUUUUGAUUAAAGAAGAGAAAGAUGAAAGUUUUGCUGGUGGUUUUGUCAUGGAGAGAACAAAUCUCUGGAAUCCUAACCUAUUUACGCUAAUCCCAUAAAACCCGUUCCUCAUUGUGUUCCUCUACAAUAUCGAUGUAUACAACUCUCUUUUUUUAUGCUGCUUUCUCAUUUUCUACCAGAUUUUCUUUCACCUAUUUCCUGUCUUCUUUUCAAUUACAAUGCAACCUUGUAAAGUGUUACACGUAGAUUUGGAUGGACUAAUUUUAAUUGGUUUGCGUUCUGAAGUGGCUGAUUCAUCAUCUUAAAAUCAUCCGCGAAGGCGGAUUAGAAGAAAUGCAAACCUAUUUCUUAAUGGAGAAAGUCAGUUUGAACAAUUUGUAGCGAUUUAGAAAUUUUGUAGGGAUUUUUUUCAAAAUUGUCGGCCACAAACCCAACGCACUCAUCAAGAAGUUAACAUCUUAACUUAUUUUAGGGUGUGAAGGAAUUGAAAUUGGUCCAUUAAGAUGUAUGUUGAGACACUUGACUGGUUCUCAUCGCUCGUGCACAAGCAAAGCUCCACUUUCUCUUUUAUCUAUGUAGCUCCUCGCUCUCAAUCUCACGUUACGUUGUCAUCCGCUUCAAUCCGGUUUUGAACUUGUAUUAUAUAUUGGAUAAGCACAGUAAUACGAAAAAAAUGUUAUGUAAGUGUAGCUGUUAACUCUAGUUGAUAGCUGGAAUUAAUGUGAGAGCUAAAAUCUGAAUUUGAAAAUUUGAAAAUUCUGCAAUGAGUAAAUUGCACAAUCAUUUGUCUCACAUCUAGUUGAAUACAUGGUCAUUUUUGUUAUAUCACAGUUUUGGUAACAUUGCUAAAACAUAACGUUAACUAAAUUUUUAGUAUGUUAUGCAUAAUUUUUAAUCACAUCUUUAAUCUUAAUUAGUAUAUCAAAUUAAAAAAUAAAUUAAGAUACCACAGGCAGUUGCUAAUGGACGCUGUUGUUGAUAAUCUGGUGCUUAUUGUGAAUAUUUAGUAUUAUCUUACAGAAUAAAAAAUACGAAUUUUAAACGUUAUUUUACAUCCAGAGCUAAGUAAAGUGUUAUUGUCUGUAGUUUGACAUUGUUGUAGUAACAUUUUAUUCAAAACUAAAUUUAUGUCAUUGUAAAUGUACUUCAAAGUAAAAUAAACGUAAUUGAAUGCCUGGAAAA